UAACCCUAGCGUCGCAGACACGUUUUCUUUAAAAAAAUCGACAUCAAACACCAAUUUCACAUCUUCAUUAGAGGUACGAUUAUGUUCUAUCAUUUACCAGAUUGUCAUCGAUAUAUCAUUUACCAGAUUUUCACUCUCAAAACCCUAAAUCCCAAUCUAAAGAAACUGAGCAUAAGGUAUGAUGUUGUGUUCUAAAACACUGUCCCUCAUUCGGCAAACCCUAAUACACCAAUCAAUCUGCCCGGCGAUUCUUCUCCGUUAAGCCCUGGUAUACAAACCCUAAUUAUAUCGAUUCAGCUGCUCUGUGUUAUCUCUUCUCAUCAUUCAUCCAUCUAUGAAUCAUCGGAUCUUUACAUCCGAUUUCAACAGAUUUAAAAAGUUGAUGAAACAUUCGUACCUUCAAGCAGCACCAAAUUGGGCAAAAUUGUGAUAUCCACAACCAUAUGGUACCCACUUGGUGCACGUAUGUCGAUCUCUUCGUCUCGAAGGUGGUUUUUAUAAUCCUCUAAUCGAUUUGAUGUUGAAUGUUCAUUUGUAAGGUAUGUUUCAUUAUCAUUUAACAUCCUAUUUUUUGAAUCCUCUAUUUUUAUUUACAGAUUAGGGUUCUCUUUAGGCAUCCAUUUUAGAUUAGGGUUCUUUUUGGGUUUGGAUUGUGUCUCUGUUACGCAUCCGUUUUUUGCAACUAAAUCUACCACCUUAUCUUUGUUGAUUUGAACUUUGCUUCUGUAAACAUCCUGAUCUGUUUAGACUCAUAUAAGGUUAAUUCAAAAACCUUUUGAGAUAAAAGAUCAUUAUGUUGUACUUUAUAUCUUUUGCAUUUACUGGUAUGGACUCAGUUUAUAUAAACCAUUCGAUUUUGUUUAAAUUCACCAAAAUUAAAAAAA
This 884-nucleotide long non-coding RNA is filed under the name Helianthus annuus (common sunflower). Lineage: Eukaryota; Viridiplantae; Streptophyta; Magnoliopsida; Asterales; Asteraceae. The record is from RNAcentral.